Molecule: long non-coding RNA, 5014 nt
Organism: Carassius auratus (goldfish)
Lineage: Eukaryota; Metazoa; Chordata; Actinopteri; Cypriniformes; Cyprinidae
Source: Ensembl
AUGACAUGUCUUGGGCACUUUUUUUUUGUCCCAGCAAAUACAAAAGUCUGGGUCUCGCUGUAUCGCUCAGGCUGCACUGCAGUGUCUAUUCACAGGUGCGAUCCCACUACUGAUCGACACGGGGGCUUUGACCUGCUCCGUCUCCGACCUGGGCCGGUUCACCCCUCCUUAGACCUGGUGGUCCCGAGCUCCCCCAGGAACACCAUAUCGAUACCGAACUUAGUGUGGACACCUGAUCAACAUAGUCCACUGCAGCCCAGAACCCCUGAACUCAAGCGAUCCGCCAGCCUCAGUCUCCCAGCAGCUUGGAUUACAGGCGCGCGCCACUGCACCCGACGAGAGCUGCAGCAUCAGCGCUGAUACUCAAUCUAGAGAUCACUGACACCUCGAGUACAGCACAGCAGAAUAUUAUGUUUUGGCAAUUAAUUUGAAGUAUGCACAUUUUCUCUGCAGCACACUCAAUGAUUAUAAUAUAAUAUAAAACAUUACCAUAUAAAAGUUCUGUAAUCUAUUUUGCCUACCAGUCAACAGUUUAAGAACAGUAAGAUUUUAUUUAUGUUUUUAAAGAAGUCUCUUCUGCUCACCAAACCUGCAUUGAUUUGAUCCAGAACACAGCAAAAGCAGUAAUAUUGUGAAUUAAUUGUACUAUUUAAAACAACAGUUUUCUAUUUGAAUAUGUUUUAAAAUGUAAUUUAUUCCUGUGACCAAAGCUGUAUUUUCAGCAUCAUUACUCCAGUCUUCAGUGUCUCAUCCUUCAGAAAUCAUUCUAAUAUGCUGAUUUGCUGAUUAUCAAUAUUUAAAACAUAUGAGUACAUUUUUCAGUAUUCUUUGAUGAAUAGAGUGGUUUCCAAAGAUCAGCAUUUAUUUGAAAUAAAAAGCUUUUGCAACAUUAUUUACUAUAUCAUUCAAAAGCUUAGAUUUUUUUUUUUUAGCAGCAAAUCAGAAUAGUAGAAUUAUUUCUGAAGGAUCGUGUGAAUGGAGUAAUGAUGCUAAAACUUCAGCUUUGAAAUCUCAAUAAAUUACAUUUUGAAAUAUAUUCAAAUAGAAAUCAGUUAUUGUUUUGCUGUACUUUGGAUCAAAUAAAUGCAGGCUUGGUGAACAGAAGAGACUUCUUUAAAAAACAUUAACAAGCUUACUGUUCAAAAACUUUUUAUUGGUAGUGUAUAAGCAACUUCAAUUUUUCUCUAACGGCUUAUAAUUGGCUUAUAAAUCUAUAACUGCUGGACAAUAACAAAUAAUUAUGAUCUGUUUAUAUACUACAAACACUUUUUUAUCACAUAAUAAGGCAGAAUAGUUUCUUGUAAUAAUAAUGUGUUCGUGUUUCCAAAAGUGUCUGUUUUUCUGUGUAAACAACUGUUUUCACACAGCAUAGCUGGAUGCUUUUGUCCAUAUUAGGAGUUUCCUGGUAUGGUUUUCUGCGCGAGAGCGCCCUCUUGCUUCGAGUAUGAAUGAAACACACACUGCAGGAGAGUUUAGCGCUCUGUGAUGUUCAUCUCGCCUUCUGGGUCCGAAUAAAAUAUCAUAUCAUGCGCAGACCGUCGUAUCUCUUUGAGUUCAAUCUAUAUAUAUUCACACCAGCUCUUGAAAACAUCUUUGUGAACACACUUGACCGAAAAAGUGGGGGGGACGAAUUUCUGUGAUGUUAAAAGUGGGGGGACACACGUAAUCAUGUAAGGACCCCACGUAAUACAAGCCCCUGGUCGUGGUCCUUUCACAGAUGCUCCUGAGCCAGAUGUUAGACCAUGAUGUUGUAUCUAAGUAAACUAUAAGGGUGUAACAGAAAUGACUCAAGCCAGACAAAUUAAAGAGGGCUGUUUUUGAAACACGAGCCGAAUUCCUCAGGAAGUCAUAAAUCAGUUCUAGUGCCACAAGACCCAAGCAGGAUGACCAACCAACUUUUUCACAAAACAGCUUUCAACAUUAACACCACUAGAACAAUUAUUGACAAUUUUUAUUAACCGAAGAGAUUGUCAAAUUUGUUGUUCGUAAUUGAAAUGCAAUGCUGGACAUCACAUGAAAACCCAUGAGAGUACUGCACAAGUUCCAUUGACUUCCCCCACCCAGCAGAACCAGACUGAAAUUCCUGAGGGGGAAGGGCUUUGAACCUCUGGUCUCCACAGAAAUCCUUGUCAAGAGAAUGACAAAGAAACUGUUUUUUGUACAUAUAUAUGGACCAAAAUGAACUCUAAAAUGACUUCUAAAUGAAUAUCAUUCCAUCGCUUAACUCCAUAUCAAUUUAUAUGUACCCCACACAUUUGACUAUCAUGUUAUAAUCACUUAUUGUGUAUGUCUUUUAAUAACUAUGGGAUAGCUUAAGGAUAUAUAGUCAUGUCUAGUAUCUAUGUAAUGGAAUCUGCUUGCUUGAGAUAGCCCAGACAAUCAAUUUUAUGUCAAAUGUAUCAUAUGCGUGUUAUAGGAAUCAUGUCCAAAAUUAGACCCUGCAAGAGCUGGAAAAUUCGGACCACAUGCUUGGUAAGAUAUCAUAUGAUUUAUGAUACCCCCGAGCCAAGACAAUAUCUGAUUGGUCAAGAGACAAUUUGAGGUGUGGCCAACAGACCAGUUUAAAUACUUAGGACACCAUAAAAUCUUGCUUUUAGUCUCUAGCUUUUAGCUUUUAGUCUCUAGCUAUGCUUCUGCUAUUAGUCAUGUCUGCUUUUAGUUUUAGCUUUUAGCUUUGCUUAUUAGCUUUAGCUUAUAGCCAUGCUGUUAGUCAUCACUGUUCUUUGAGCGCGGUUGCAGCGUGCUUCAGCCUGCACGCCUGCUGCUACUUAGCCACGAUGAGAAGGAACACAACAUAGUCUCGACAAACUUCACUUCUUUUCUUUUCCGUUUGAGAGUUUCGUGUUCUGAGUUAAGUUUGUAACGUCGAGUUCAACUUCAACCAGCCACACACAACUCUGCAUUUUCAUCCAACGCCCAACCAGGGCUACCCAAGACGUCACUUCACGACUACUGAACUUCCAGCCAAUCAGCCACAUCGGGAAAAUCCCCUUUCAACGACAACAAAGGGGACUGUCUUUACACAGGAGAUACAAGUACUUACCUCCAGACUCUGAUUUGUACUGGUGUAUCUAAUAUAAUUUUAACCUCAUUGAGGAACUCAAUGCGAGGGCUAAUUACGUUAUUGAUGGUUGUUCAUGUCUAUGCAAUUUAACGUAUUGCUGUAAACUUGGAACUCUUAAAUUCAUCUUUCCCUAACUUUCGAUCUUCUUGCAAUUUGUGUGAAUGUGUGAGUGCGUGCGUUUAUGUGUUAGAUUAGUUUAUAUGUCUUAGAUUUAUCUAAUAAAGCCUUAUUCAUAUUGAAAAGAGAAGUAUGUUGUGUUUUGUGCUUACAAGUUAAUGUCUUAAACUGCCGAUCUUGUUACUGUGCUAAUUGAUUGUGUUUUCACUAUACUUUGGAUAUUAAUAAUAUCCCCGUUCAGUGAAUCGCUGGGCGUCUCAGUGAUCGGCCGUGAAACAGUGAUUCUGUUCAAAUUCUUAAAUGAUUCCCUUCGAGCUAAAUUGACCUGUUUCGCUUACAAGGGGUCCAGUAUGGGUGGGACAGUGGCAUUGACGCUGGUCAUGACAAGUUCUCAAAUCACUUCAUGAUGAUAGACGAGAGUGCUACAGGCAGAUAAUCAUUGAGAUAGGAUAUUGUUGACUUCUUGUGUGCAGGGGUUAUUUAUUUUUUAAUCUGGAUGAUAAACAGUCAAACUUCCAUAAGAAAACCCACAAACAAUCAUAGGUGUAAAAAAACUGGACAUUAUUAGGUGUUUAAGAGUUAUUUCCAUGUUUUUGUUCUUAUGUCUAAUGGCUUGUCAAUAUAAUUGCCUUUUAAAGAAAUAAUCAAAAUUUGUCAGUAAAACCAUUUUUUUAAGAGCUUAAUAAGGAGUUCUUGUAGUUCAAACAUUUCUUGGAAUCUUUUUUAUUUUUUUUUAUUUUUUGUCCCAGUCCAGGACUGGUUAUUUGAGAGCAAACCCAAAAGUCUGGGUCUCUCUGUAUCGCUCAGGCUGCGCUGCAGUGUCUAUUCACAGGAGCGAUCCCACUACUGAUCGACACGGGGGCUUUGACCUGCUCCGUCUCCGACCUGGGCCGGUUCACCCCUCGUUAGACGACCUGGUGGUCCCGAGCUCCCCCAGGAGCACCAUAUCGAUACCGAACUUAGUGUGGACACCUGAUCAACAUAGUCCACUGCAGCCCAGAACCCCUGAACUCAAGCGAUCCGCCAGCCUCAGUCUCCCAGCAGCUUGGAUUACAGGCGCGCGCCACUGCACCCGACGAGAGCUGCAGCAUCAGCGCUGAUACUCAAUCUAGAGAUCACUGACUAGGACUACGCUAUGCUGCAAAUCAACACUGAGGUUUAGACAAAUCGUAUAAAAUCGUACGAGUGAGGUCGUACAAAUUGGUACUAAUUAGCCACCUCGUAAAAAACGUACGAAUUGUUUGUGAGAUAGCGUUACAUUCUUGCUUGCAGCUCUCGUCGGGUGCAGUGGCGCGUGCCUGUAAUCCAAGCUGCUGGGAGACUGAGGCUGGCGGAUCGCUUGAGUUCAGGGGUUCUGGGCUGCAGUGGACUAUGUUGAUCAGGUGUCCACACUAAGUUCGGUAUCGAUAUGGUGCUCCUGGGGGAGCUUGGGACCACCAGGUCGUCUAAGGAGGGGUGAACCGGCCCAGGUCAGAGAUGGAGCAGGUCAAAGCCCCCGUGUCGAUCAGUAGUGGGAUCGCGCCUGUGAAUAGACACUUCAGUGCAGCCUGAGCGAUACAGAGAGACCCAGACUUUUGGGCUUGUUCCUGCAGAUGGACAGUUCAAUGAUAAUCAAAUAGUUUUGCUCUUACUUGUCAACUUAAGAUUUUGUAGCAUUUUACAAAUUUGUAAACUGUUUUAAACUUUUUAUCUUUUCAGCAAUGAUAUUUGCGGCGUUGCACUUGUUUUUAAUUGAAGAGGCGCUCCGUAUUUCAUGACAAAUGACUGGUACUAUAUCUUAAAUGACUGGUAGCCUACUAUAUCGUCUCUCUGUGGAAGUGAUAUUUCUCUUCA